CCUACGGGAGGCAGCAGUGAGGAAUAUUGGUCAAUGGCCGUAAGGCUGAACCAGCCAAGUCGCGUGAAGGAAGAAGGAUCUAUGGUUUGUAAACUUCUUUUAUAGAGGAAUAAAGGUAUCCACGUGUGGAUAUUUGCAUGUACCCUAUGAAUAAGCAUCGGCUAACUCCGUGCCAGCAGCCGCGGUAAUACGGAGGAUGCGAGCGUUAUCCGGAUUUAUUGGGUUUAAAGGGUGCGUAGGUGGGUUUUUAAGUCAGCGGUGAAAGUUUGUGGCUCAACCAUAAAAUUGCCGUUGAAACUGGCAGACUUGAGUGUGUUUGAGGUAGGCGGAAUGCGUGGUGUAGCGGUGAAAUGCAUAGAUAUCACGCAGAACUCCGAUUGCGAAGGCAGCUUACUAAGCCAUAACUGACACUGAAGCACGAAAGCGUGGGGAUCAAACAGGAUUAGAUACCCGGGUAGUC
Molecule: ribosomal RNA, 460 nt
Filed under: uncultured bacterium
Lineage: Bacteria
Description: partial 16S ribosomal RNA
Rfam family: Bacterial small subunit ribosomal RNA
Source: RNAcentral